Molecule: ribosomal RNA, 568 nt
Filed under: uncultured Bacillus sp.
Lineage: Bacteria; Bacillati; Bacillota; Bacilli; Caryophanales; Bacillaceae
Description: bacterial SSU rRNA
Rfam family: Bacterial small subunit ribosomal RNA
Source: RNAcentral
UGGAGCAAACGCCGCGUGAGCGAUGAAAGGCCUUCGGGUCGUAAAAGCUCUGUUGUUUAGGGAAGAACAAAGUGCGAGAGUAAACUGCUCGCACCCUUGACGGGUACCUAACCCAGAAAAGCCACGGCUAACUACGUGCCAGCAGCCGCGGUAAUACGUAGGUGGCAAGCGUUGUCCGGAAUUAUUGGGCGUAAAGCGCGCGCAGGUGGUUCUUUAAGUCUGAUGUGAAAGCCCACGGCUCAACCGUGGAGGGUCAUUGGAAACUGGGGAACUUGAGUGCAGAAGAGGAAAGUGGAAUUCCAAGUGUAGCGGUGAAAUGCGUAGAGAUUUGGAGGAACACCAGUGGCGAAGGCGACUUUCUGGUCUGUAACUGACACUGAGGCGCGAAAGCGUGGGGAGCAAACAGGAUUAGAUACCCUGGUAGUCCACGCCGUAAACGAUGAGUGCUAAGUGUUAGUAGGGUUUCCCGCCCUUUAGUGCUGCAGCUAACGCAUUAAGCACUCCGCCGUGGGGAGGUACGGUCGCAAGACUAGAAACUACAAAAGGUAAUUGACGGGGGGCCCCGCAC